Cinara cedri is the source of this 249-nucleotide non-coding RNA. The record is from the annotation of a GenBank genome assembly. NCBI's taxonomy places the organism in Eukaryota, Metazoa, Arthropoda, Insecta, Hemiptera, Aphididae.
AAUAUGCAAGUGUUAAACACGGUUACGGGAUCGAGAAUACGAACCAAAACUACUAUAGGUAGGGUCUGUGCCAAAAGUUUACAAUCAACUGUACUUGAUAUUUUAUAGUUAACUUCCCUUCCCCCCAAAAAACGGUACAAGUACUCGAUAUACUAUUAAGGCAAUGUAGGGUAGAUCGGGUAAACUGAGGAAUAAAAAGUAAUAAUGCACUCAAAAAGGUCACUGAUAAUAUCGUUUUUGUUUAUAAUU